UGACUGAAAAAUAAAAAUGGGGUUGCCACAGGUGUCUUCAGGCUGCACUGCUGAGGAAGUGGCCUUAUCCCUAGGCACAUUUGUGCAAACUGUGCCUAGAGUAACCAGCAUGAGCAACUAUGGGGUGAACUUGUUGACUGGAGAAGACCUGGGUAAUUGCAUGCACAUUGAUGUGCUUAAAUCUGAAAGAAAAAAUGACUCAGAGCUUUCAAAAGAAUCACACAUUUCAAGUAUGUGUAAAGAUGCUAAGUUGAAGAUUAAUCCCAUAGAACAAAUUGGCAGGUUAUCUGUUGAUGUAAGGGAAACUAUGCAGAAACCUAUACCUAGGACUGUAGGUUUUCAAAUAAGAGCAUCAACACCUGGUGUUAAUGGUUAUGAUGGAAAUGGAUAUUCGUCAACUGUGUUUAAUGUCACCAGUGAUGCAACUGAAGCUUCUGAGUCACAAGUCAGAAAGCGGUUAUUGCAUGAGCAACUAUGGGGUGAACUUGUUGACUGGAGAAGACCUGGGUAAUUGCAUGCACAUUGAUGUGCUUAAAUCUGAAAGAAAAAAUGACUCAGAGCUUUCAAAAGAAUCACACAUUUCAAGUAUGUGUAAAGAUGCUAAGUUGAAGAUUAAUCCCAUAGAACAAAUUGGCAGGUUAUCUGUUAAUGUA
Molecule: long non-coding RNA, 653 nt
Filed under: Phaseolus vulgaris (common bean)
Lineage: Eukaryota; Viridiplantae; Streptophyta; Magnoliopsida; Fabales; Fabaceae
Description: long non-coding RNA (PVUL_LNC001220)
Source: RNAcentral